RNAcentral lists this ribosomal RNA (255 nucleotides) under uncultured bacterium. Its description in RNAcentral is "partial 16S ribosomal RNA". It matches the Rfam family "Bacterial small subunit ribosomal RNA", at positions 524 to 776 of the family's 1533-position model. The record is from RNAcentral.
CACGUAGGGUGCGAGCGUUGUCCGGAAUUAUUGGGCGUAAAGAGCUCGUAGGCGGUGUGUCGCGUCGGCCGUGAAAACCUGCAGCUUAACUGUGGGCGUGCGGUCGAUACGGGCAUCACUGGAGUUCGGCAGGGGAGACUGGAAUUCCUGGUGUAGCGGUGAAAUGCGCAGAUAUCAGGAGGAACACCAGUGGCGGAAGGCGCCACUCUGGGCCGUAACUGACGCUGAGGAGCGAAAGCGUGGGUAGCAAACAGG